Molecule: microRNA precursor, 102 nt
Filed under: Camelina sativa (false flax)
Lineage: Eukaryota; Viridiplantae; Streptophyta; Magnoliopsida; Brassicales; Brassicaceae
Description: miR399b stem-loop (cas-MIR399b)
Gene: cas-MIR399b
Rfam family: mir-399 microRNA precursor family
About the family: mir-399 was identified in both Arabidopsis thaliana and Oryza sativa computationally and was later experimentally verified. mir-399 is thought to target mRNAs coding for a phosphatase transporter. The mature sequence is excised from the 3' arm of the hairpin.
Source: miRBase by way of RNAcentral
UUACAGGGCAAGAUCACCAUUGGCAGAAAUCUAUUACUUCAUUCUUGCAUAUGCAUAAAUGUUUGUGGUGAGCUCUCUGCCAAAGGAGAUUUGCCCGGUAAU